RNAcentral lists this ribosomal RNA (497 nucleotides) under uncultured bacterium. RNAcentral describes it as "partial 16S ribosomal RNA". It matches the Rfam family "Bacterial small subunit ribosomal RNA", at positions 28 to 507 of the family's 1533-position model. The record is from RNAcentral.
GAUGAACGCUGGCGGCGUGCCUAAUACAUGCAAGUCGAGCGAACGGACGAGAAACUUGCUUCUCUGAUGUUAGCGGCGGACGGGUGAGUAACACGUGGAUAACCUACCUAUAAGACUGGGAUAACUUCGGGAAACCGUAGCUAAUACCGGAUAAUAUUUUGAACCGCAUGGUUCAAAAGUGAAAGACGGUCUUGCUGUCACUUAUAGAUGGAUCCGCGCUGCAUUAGCUAGUUGGUAAGGUAACGGCUUACCAAGGCAACGACGCAUAGCCGACCUGAGAGGGUGAUCGGCCACACUGGAACUGAGACACGGUCCAGACUCCUACGGGAGGCAGCAGAAGGGAAUCUUCCGCAAUGGGCGAAAGCCUGACGGAGCAACGCCGCGUGAGUGAUGAAGGUCUUCGGAUAGUAAAACUCUGUUAUUAGGGAAGAACAUAUGUGUAAGGAACUGUGCACAUCUUGACGGUACCUAAUCAGAAAGCCACGGCUAACUACGUG